This 899-nucleotide ribosomal RNA is filed under the name Isoptericola halotolerans. RNAcentral describes it as "bacterial SSU rRNA". It matches the Rfam family "Bacterial small subunit ribosomal RNA", at positions 56 to 963 of the family's 1533-position model. The record is from RNAcentral. Lineage: Bacteria; Bacillati; Actinomycetota; Actinomycetes; Micrococcales; Promicromonosporaceae.
UGCAGUCGAACGGUGAAGCCCAGCUUGCUGGGUGGAUCAGUGGCGAACGGGUGAGUAACACGUGAGCAACCUGCCCUCCACUUCGGGAUAAGCCUUGGAAACGAGGUCUAAUACCGGAUAUGAGCGCCUGCCGCAUGGUGGGUGUUGGAAAGUUUUUCGGUGGGGGAUGGGCUCGCGGCCUAUCAGCUUGUUGGUGGGGUGAUGGCCUACCAAGGCGUCGACGGGUAGCCGGCCUGAGAGGGCGACCGGCCACACUGGGACUGAGACACGGCCCAGACUCCUACGGGAGGCAGCAGUGGGGAAUAUUGCACAAUGGGCGAAAGCCUGAUGCAGCGACGCCGCGUGAGGGAUGACGGCCUUCGGGUUGUAAACCUCUUUCAGCAGGGAAGAAGGCUUCGGUUGACGGUACCUGCAGAAGAAGCGCCGGCUAACUACGUGCCAGCAGCCGCGGUAAUACGUAGGGCGCAAGCGUUGUCCGGAAUUAUUGGGCGUAAAGAGCUCGUAGGCGGUUUGUCACGUCUGGUGUGAAAACCCGAGGCUCAACCUCGGGCUUGCAUCGGGUACGGGCAGACUAGAGUGCGGUAGGGGAGACUGGAAUUCCUGGUGUAGCGGUGGAAUGCGCAGAUAUCAGGAGGAACACCGAUGGCGAAGGCAGGUCUCUGGGCCGCAACUGACGCUGAGGAGCGAAAGCAUGGGGAGCGAACAGGAUUAGAUACCCUGGUAGUCCAUGCCGUAAACGUUGGGCACUAGGUGUGGGGGCUCAUUCCACGAGUUCCCGUGCCGCAGCUAACGCAUUAAGUGGCCCCGCCUGGGGGAGUACGGGCCGCAAAGGCUAAAACUCCAAAGGGAUUUGACGGGGGGCCCGCACAAACGGGCGGAACAUUGCCGGAUUAAAUUCC